This 599-nucleotide small RNA is filed under the name Apis mellifera (honey bee). RNAcentral describes it as "Nb-1". The record is from RNAcentral. Lineage: Eukaryota; Metazoa; Arthropoda; Insecta; Hymenoptera; Apidae.
AGGAGGGGCAUUGUGGCUUAGGGUAUAGGGUCUCGGCUUUCUGACAGGAAGUUCUAGGGUUCGAAUCCUCGUUGGUCUCCUUUGGUUUUUCCUUCAAGUCCAGCAGCUGGAAACUUAUCCACGGAUGGAAGGACCUCUUUCCACAACACGAUUAAGGUCAAUAAAACGGCGUCGACGAAAAAUAAACCCACGAUUACUACAGAUUACAGAAGAAGUGUUUGGAGUAUGAUGAAUUACGAAGAACAGAAAAGGAGGAGUAUUAAAGUUUUAGUAGUAGUGUCCAUACGUAAGACCAUAAAUUACGUACGAAAAUGACGACGAAUUAAAGAUCGAAGAAUUGUGUGUGAAAGGUGUGAGAACACCAAAAAUAUUGUCUCGUGGUAAAACCACUGCCCUUUGUGGAAAAAUACAAAAAUACAAAAAAAACGAAAAACACAUAAAAGAAAUAAGAAAUAAAGAAAAUCAAAAAAAAAAAUAAUUUUCAAGAACCCUCUCGAGAUGCCCUACUCUCUAAAAUGGGGAAAAAACAAAAACACGAAUAAGGGAAAAAUAAUCAGGAGAACUUCCAUGCCCAUAAAAUGGAACCCCUAACACCGAAG